Non-coding RNA from Heterocephalus glaber (naked mole-rat), 661 nucleotides. Lineage: Eukaryota; Metazoa; Chordata; Mammalia; Rodentia; Bathyergidae. The record is from RefSeq and is a predicted model, not a curated record.
CCCUCCCCCGCCCGCCCCUCCGCCCGGCGGAGGCUCCGAGCUGCCGCGGGCCGCGCGCACAGGAGGCGCGCGCGCUGCCAGUUUCCUCCUCAAGCCCGCGCUCCGCGUGUGCAGUCCCGGCCCCGCUCAUUCAAAGCCGGGCGCGCGCUCGGUCGCGGCCGCCGUCGCCGCCGCGCAGCUGCCGUCACCGCCCCUCUCCGGGAAGCCCGCCCCCGGCCCCUCUCCAGCCCCUCCCCCAGCUCCUCCCCGACCCCGCCUCUGCUCCUGCAAGGUGGCUCUGGUUAUCUCCAGGCCCUCAACAUCCGGGCCCCGCCCCACGUCUUGUCUAGCCCAAUAGGCGGGAGGUUGAGGGUCGGCAUUGGGACUCGUAACCCGUGAAAGCCGAGGGGCGGGGUCAGCGGCGACCAACACGUCGACGUUUAGUCACGGAACAAGGAGACUAUGUUACGAGGAACCGCGUCCUUGCCGAAUUAGAUGUUUACCUUCGGAGAUUGCCCUGGAGCAUGAUGAACGUUUUGUAAGCCCGAGAAACGGGAAGGCCCAGGAGGGUGGGGAAUUCCCAAAGAACUAGAAAACAAGGAAGCAGGUGUCUCUGGAUAAGGGUCAUGAUGAACAGCCAAACUCACCGGUACUGUUCUACAAGUGACGGCGGGCUCCGUCA